AAAAUCUAGUGUCUGCUGCUAAUUCGUAUUCAUUCCCCGUACCGUAAUUAGUAUUCAUGUGCACUAUGCGAGCUUGCGCACUCUUCAACAUGUGGGAAGACAAUCCAUUGGAAUUUCAAUUUC
Non-coding RNA from Caenorhabditis elegans, 123 nucleotides. The record is from Ensembl. Lineage: Eukaryota; Metazoa; Nematoda; Chromadorea; Rhabditida; Rhabditidae.